CCUACGUGAGGCAGCAGUGAGGAAUAUUGGUCAAUGGGCGCGAGCCUGAACCAGCCAAGUAGCGUGAAGGAUGACUGCCCUACGGGUUGUAAACUUCUUUUAUACAGGAAUAAAGUGAGGCACGUGUGCCUUUUUGUAUGUACUUUAUGAAUAAGGAUCGGCUACCUCCGUUCCAGCAGCCGCGGUAAUACGGAGGAUCCGAGCGUUGUCCGGAUUUCUUGGGUGUAAAGGGAGCGGAGAUGGGUUGUUAAGUCAGGUGUGAAAGUUUGCGGCUCAACCGUAAAAUUGCAAUUGAUACUGGCAGUCUUGAGUACAGGUGAGGUAGGCGGAAUUCGUGGUGUAGCGGUGAAAUGCUUAGAUAUCACGAAGAACUCCGAUUGCGAAGGCAGCUUACUAAACUGCCACUGACAUUGAUGCUCGAAAGUGUGGGUAUCAAACAGGAUUAGAUACCCCAGUAGUC
This 460-nucleotide ribosomal RNA is filed under the name uncultured bacterium. RNAcentral describes it as "partial 16S ribosomal RNA". It matches the Rfam family "Bacterial small subunit ribosomal RNA", at positions 338 to 795 of the family's 1533-position model. The record is from RNAcentral.